GACGAACGCUGGCGGCGUGCCUAACACAUGCAAGUCGAGCGGGGAUGAUGGAGAGCUUGCUCAAAAUCAUUCUAGCGGCGGACGGGUGAGUAACGCGUGAGCAACCUGCCUAUCACUGGGGAAUAACGCAUCGAAAGGUGUGCUAAUACCGCAUGAGACCACAGAACCGCAUGGUUUAGAGGUCAAAGAUUUAUCGGUGAUAGAUGGGCUCGCGUCUGAUUAGCUAGUUGGUGAGGUAACGGCCCACCAAGGCGACGAUCAGUAGCCGACCUGAGAGGGUGAUCGGCCACAUUGGAACUGAGAAACGGUCCAAACUCCUACGGGAGGCAGCAGUGGGGAAUAUUGGGCAAUGGGCGCAAGCCUGACCCAGCAACGCCGCGUGAAGGAAGAAGGUCUUCGGAUCGUAAACUUCUAAUCCCUUUGGGUGAAAGGAUAAAUGACGGUAGCCAAGAGGAAGCCCCGGNUAACUACGUG
This 474-nucleotide ribosomal RNA is filed under the name uncultured bacterium. RNAcentral describes it as "bacterial SSU rRNA". It matches the Rfam family "Bacterial small subunit ribosomal RNA", at positions 28 to 507 of the family's 1533-position model. The record is from RNAcentral.